UCGGACCUUGGUAGCGCAGCUAACGCGUGAAGUUGACCGCCUGGGGAGUACGUUCGCAAGAUUAAAACUCAAAGGAAUGACGGGGGACCCGCACAAGCGGUGGAUGAUGUGGAUUAAUUCGAUGCAACGCGAAAAACCUUACNUACCCUGCACAUGUCUGGAAUCCUGAAGAGAUUUAGGAGUGCUCGCAAGAGAACCGGAACACAGGUGCUGCAUGGCUGUCGUCAGCUCGUGUCGUGAGAUGUUGGGUUAAGUCCCGCAACGAGCGCAACCCUUGUCAUUAGUUGCUACGAAAGGGCACUCUAAUGAGACUGCCGGUGACAAACCGGAGGAAGGUGGGGAUGACGUCAAGUCCUCAUGGCCCUUAUGGGUAGGGCUUCACACGUCAUACAAUGGUCGGGACAGAGGGUCGCCAACCCGCGAGGGGGAGCCAAUCCCAGAAACCCGAUCGUAGUCCGGAUCGCGGUCUGCAACUCGACUGCGUGAAGUCGGAAUCGCUAGUAAUCGUGAAUCAGAAUGUCACGGUGAAUACGUUCCCGGGCCUUGUACACACCGCCCGUCACACCAUGGGAGUGGGUUGCUCCAGAAGUAGCUAGUCUAACCGCAAGGGGGACGGUUACCACGGAGUGAUUCAUGACUGGGGUGAAGUCGUAACAAGGUAGCCGUAGGGGAACCUGCGGCUGGAUCACCUCCUGAAGCUUGGAUCCCGGG
This 711-nucleotide ribosomal RNA is filed under the name uncultured Pseudomonadota bacterium. RNAcentral's name for it is "bacterial SSU rRNA". It matches the Rfam family "Bacterial small subunit ribosomal RNA", at positions 833 to 1533 of the family's 1533-position model. The record is from RNAcentral. Lineage: Bacteria; Pseudomonadati; Pseudomonadota.